RNAcentral lists this ribosomal RNA (496 nucleotides) under uncultured bacterium. Its description in RNAcentral is "partial 16S ribosomal RNA". It matches the Rfam family "Bacterial small subunit ribosomal RNA", at positions 28 to 506 of the family's 1533-position model. The record is from RNAcentral.
GACGAACGCUGGCGGCGUGCCUAAUACAUGCAAGUAGAACGCUGAAGAGAGGAGCUUGCUCUUCUUGGAUGAGUUGCGAACGGGUGAGUAACGCGUAGGUAGCCUGCCUUGUAGCGGGGGAUAACUAUUGGAAACGAUAGCUAAUACCGCAUAACAAUGGAUGACACAUGUCAUUUAUUUGAAAGGGGCAAUUGCUCCACUACAAGAUGGACCUGCGUUGUAUUAGCUAGUAGGUGAGGUAAUGGCUCACCUAGGCGACGAUACAUAGCCGACCUGAGAGGGUGAUCGGCCACACUGGGACUGAGACACGGCCCAGACUCCUACGGGAGGCAGCAGUAGGGAAUCUUCGGCAAUGGGGGCAACCCUGACCGAGCAACGCCGCGUGAGUGAAGAAGGUUUUCGGAUCGUAAAGCUCUGUUGUAAGUCAAGAACGGGUGUGAGAGUGGAAAGUUCACACUGUGACGGUAGCUUACCAGAAAGGGACGGCUAACUACGU